Non-coding RNA from Lactuca sativa (garden lettuce), 848 nucleotides. Lineage: Eukaryota; Viridiplantae; Streptophyta; Magnoliopsida; Asterales; Asteraceae. The record is from RefSeq and is a predicted model, not a curated record.
CACACACAUAAAACACACACUUACCGUGAGAAUCUUGUCUAAGUCACUUGAUUGCCAUAAAUUUCCACAAAGGGAAAUAUUUUUCAUGCCAUUACAGAGUGCUGGUACUACGAAUCUGUUCAUCGUAACAAGUCAUGGAGUUCAAAGUUUCGAUGGUUAUGCUGUUGUCUGUUGCUCUCUCAGUUUUACUCGUCAUCAAUGGUGCUUCUCUCACUAGUCAUCAGGAGCAAACUUCUCAUGAUUUAGCUCAAGAAAACUGGUUUGGUUAUGCUGCAAUGCCAAGAAAGUUGCUGCUCAAUCAAAAGGCAAGUUAAUUUAUAAACCCUUUGAUCACAUGCAAGUUUAUUCAACAAUUAACCAAAACUGAGACCUAAUGUCAGCUCAUGAAUGGGGUUUUUUUGUUAUUAAAUUGGGUUUAAAAUAUGGUUCUUUUGUGCAUUGAUCAGGUUGAAGGCAUUAAAGACAAGAAUUUGGUGCACAAUGAGGCUUUAUCAGGUGAAUCUCGCAAGGGAGGCGAAGAAGCAGCAGCUGCUGAAUCAGAACAGACAAUGCAUGAAGGAUCCGAUCUGACCCCUUUGUUUAGUAUGGAUUACACUAGCGUGAGAAAACGACGGCCCGUGCAUAACAAGUCUUUCCCUACGACCAUCACUCUUCCAUGAUAUGUGGAUUUACCUUUUUAGUUAAUUAAGUAGAAAUAUUCUUUUAGGACAUUUAGGAUGAAAAAAGAUGGAAAAUUUUGGCUAACAAUUUGUAAUGGUCUACACAAGGGAUCUAAAAACCCUAAGUUUUGUGUAAAUUUCGUAAACGACUCUACUUAUGUUUCUUUAUAAUAUUAAUACUAAAUUACA